This is an RNA transcript of Trichechus manatus latirostris (Florida manatee), 5551 nucleotides long. It is a transcript of the gene named transmembrane protein 87B, with no coding region annotated. Lineage: Eukaryota; Metazoa; Chordata; Mammalia; Sirenia; Trichechidae. The transcript has 19 exons. The record is from RefSeq and is a predicted model, not a curated record.
AUGUCCGCCGCCUGCCGCGCCUGGGCCUUUUUCCUGCCCCGCCGCCGCUCGUGUUUUCCCGCCGAGGUUCCGCUGCUGCAUGUAGCCCUGUGUCUACUGUGCUGGGCCCCGGCGGCUGUGGACGCCGUCCCCGAGCUCGGGCUCUGGGCAAAGACGGUCAACGAUAAAUCAGGACCAUUGAUAUUUAGGAAAACUAUGUUUAACUCUACUGAAAUCAAGUUUUCUGUUAAAUCAUUCAGUUGUUCCGGGCCUGUGAAGUUUACCAUAGAAUGGUAUUUGAAGUAUCAUACCUGUCACAAUGAAUAUUCUGAGCUGGAAGAGCUGUCACAAAAACAUGAACUCAGUGUUGAUGAAGACUUUUGUGGUCAUUAUUUCAAGAAUAUUGAUUGUUGGACAACAAAAAAUGAAAACUUAGAUUGCAACAGUGAUUUACAGGUGUUUCCCUCAUUGACUAAUAAAGAACUAAUACCAAAUAUCAGAAAUGUUUCAAACCAAGAAGGAUCAAUGGAUGUCGUUGCCAGAACACAGAGAGAUGGGUUUCAUAUCUUUAUUGUUUCUAUUAAAACGGAAAAAACAGAUUCAAGCUGGAAUUUGAAUGUUUCUCUUUCUAUGAAGGGGCCUCAUGGAUAUAUCUCUGCAUCAGAUUGGCCUCUAAUGAUUUUUUACAUGGUGAUGUGUAUUAUUUAUAUUUUAUAUGGCGUACUGUGGCUGAUGUGGUCUGCCUGUUAUUGGAAAGAUAUAUUAAGAAUCCAGUUCUGGAUUGCAGCUGUUAUUUUCCUGGGAAUGCUUGAAAAAGCAGUUUUUUAUUCUGAAUACCAAAACAUCAACAGCACUGGACUGUCAACCCAAGGUUUAUUAAUAUUUGCGGAGUUGAUAUCUGCGGUUAAGAGGACAUUGGCUCGUCUCCUUGUCAUCAUUGUGAGCUUGGGUUAUGGCAUUGUGAAGCCUCGUUUAGGAACAGUCAUGUACCGGGUGAUUGGACUGGGGGUUCUUUACUUUAUCUUUGCAACUAUUGAAGGCGUGAUGAGAGUCAUUGGGGGUUCUAACCAUUUAGCUGUUGUUUUGGGUGACAUUAUUUUAGCAGUUAUUGACUCCAUUUUUGUAUGGUUCAUUUUCAUAAGUUUGGCACAAACUGUAAAGACCCUACGGUUAAGAAAGAACACAGUGAAAUUUUCUUUAUACAGGCAUUUUACAAAUACUCUGAUCUUUGCUGUACUGGCUUCUGUAGUGUUUAUGGUAUGGACAACUAAGACAUUUAGAAUUGCAAAAUGCCAAUCAGAUUGGAUGGAACGCUGGGUUGAUGAUGCAUUUUGGAGCUUCCUUUUUUCACUUAUCCUUGUUGUAAUAAUGUUUUUGUGGAGACCAUCAGCAAAUAAUCAGAGAUAUGCCUUCAUGCCCUUAAUAGAUGAUUCUGAUGAUGAAAUUGAAGAAUUCAUGGUAACAUCUGAAAAUUUAACUGAAGGAAUAAAAUUCAGAGUCUCUAAAACGAUUUCCAAUGGAGCAGCGAAACCUGCCACUUCUGAUAAUUUUGUGUUAUUAAGCAAAUGGCUAAUAUGUAAAUGUUUCUUCAGGAUGAAGAUUUGAAGUGGGUGGAAGAAAAUAUUCCCUCUUCAUUCACGGAUGUAGCUCUUCCAGUGUUAGUGGAUUCAGAUGAGGAAAUCAUGACCAGAUCUGAAAUGGCAGAAAAAAUGUUCUCUUCAGAAAAGAUAAUGUGAUCGGAACCCAUAUAAGUUGAAGGACCAUCUUUCCUCAAGACUAAAGAGCUUUGUUUUCAUAUAGCUUAACAAGUUUUUGUUGUAUGAUCUAGAAAUCCAUGUAUUAAAAUCAAUUCGGGUGGUAGGAGGGUUCUGUAACCCUUUUUAAGCUGACUCAGUUUAAUGUCCAUUAAAUUGCCUAGAUUUGGAAAUAAUCUGAGAAAAGUAUUAUGAUAAAGUUCUAAGCAUAAAUGCCCUUAGCUGAUGGUAACAGGCUUGUGGUUUUAGAAUCUUUCUCUUUUCUGUGGAAAAUAUGACAAUAGCAGAUUUUUUUUUAAUAAACACUUUUACUAUUCUUCCUCUAAUAUUUGAGGUAAUGUGAUUCUUCUAAGGUAUGGUAUAACAGUGUUUCCAUCUCCUAGAGUUAUACUACUGGAUGCAGUAAUAAUUUUCUUUGACUUUUAUACUGAUUUGAUAUUAAGUAAAGCUUGGUUAGUGUGGGAACAUACAAGCAUGUUUAUGUGUUCAGUUUUGCUUGUUUUCUGCAUAAAGCCCUUGUUUGCAAAUAUUGCCAUGCAUAGCAAAUCAUGGAGUUAGGUCUUCUCUGUCUGAGCUCAGGGAAACACAAGGGUACCAUCUUCCCAGCAUGGAGAGAGAAGUCCUGAGGGUCAGUUCCAAAGAUCUGCUCUGUCCUUGCCGCCGCCCCCACCCCACCCUGGGCUGUGUGGGUAUGUGCUGCCACUCAGUCUCCCUGGGGAAGGUGGGGAACACCUGGCCGCAUGGCUCCCCCAGAGCACUCCCCCCUGGCGAAACACAAGACUCAUUACCAGGGAAUCUUGAGGAAAAUAGAACCUUAUCUUUUACAUAAUCUUGAUAUAGCGUUUUCAUUUAAAGAAAAACGUGUGUGCGUGUGUAUAUUUGUGUGUAUAUGUAUAUUUAAAUGCACACUACAUCACUGUUAAUCUUGUAAUUUCUUAACCUUCAACCAUGUGUUACACUUUAUUUUGUUUAUAUGCGAUUGAAAAUUUUUGUUUUAAUAUAUUUUUAAAAAUGCAAAGUAUUCUAAACUUGAAAGAGAAUUGAAUGUAGUAUGAUGAAAAUGUGAAUGUUUUGCUGCUUUCAUGACCAAAGAUACAGGUUAAUGGAUGUUUAGAAUAGGAAUUAAAGUUAGUAUCUAGUAUAUCUUUAUUUGAAGGAGUUCUAAGCUGGUGAAUUGAGAAGUUACUUCAGGGAAUUUUGAUUGAGAAAGCAUUAAAAUCUUAACUAGUACCAACACUGAAAGACAACCUUUGAUUUUUUUUCACUGUGAAGCCACGAAACAUCUGCUUUUUCUUUCAAAAACCUACCGUUGAAUGUAUUUCUCAUUCACUCAUUUCACAGAGGUUAAUAAAGACUAUUUGUUUCUAGUAGUAAUGUCUCUUGAAAGAUAUUUUUAGUAGUGAAUGUUUGGAAGGUGAACAGUGUUGGCAGACAUUACUGAAAAAGGCAUGGUUUUCAAGUUCAUUGCUUUGGGACAUCUUUUCUAGGAAAAGAAUGUCUUAACGGUUGUGGAUUCCAUUCCUUAUUUCAGUUUCUGCCAUAAUAACGUGUUCCCACCCAGCUAGUGUUCCAGCGUUUAUGUCCAUUGUGGUUUUGGUGUAUUCCACUUUAGCACAGUUCCUUUAGAGCUGGAGGUGACCACUGCCUUCUCAUUCCUACCAUUUUUAUCUAAUACCCCCCACCCAAGCUUUGGGGCAGAUUUUGACCCCCUCCAACUCAUCACUUGGCUGUAGUUGAAAUUUGUGAUGCAGGAUCCUGGUCUUCCAGCCAGUGUUGUUGUGUGCAGUUCAGUUGAUUCCAACUCACAGCGACCCUGAAUGACAGGGUAGAACUGCCUCAUACGGUUUCCUGGGCUGUAAUCUCUACGGGAGCAGAUUAUCAGGUCUUUUCUCCCACGGAGCUGCAGGUGGGUUCAAACUGCAGACCUUUCAGUUAGCAGCCGAGCGCUUAACCAUUGCGCCACGAGGGCUCCAGCCAGUAGAGCCACACAUUUAGUGAGGUGUGGGUGGAGAGUUGAUGAUGUGUGAUAAUAAGGGAAAACUGUCUCUUAUACAGAAGAAGAAAACACUUCUGCAGACAGAAAGAUAAAUGAUGCUAUCUGUUUAACUCAGCUACAGGCUUAAAUGCAAAGUUUUCUCUUCAGAGAAAGCAGGAUUUCUUUCUAAUAGCCACGUCAGAAAUUUUUUAAUUUUCUAAGGCAUGAGCUCUGUCACUUCCAUUGAUAAUUACAUUAUCCAUUGAUGUUCUAUGACCAAUACUACAGAGGGCCUUGUUGUUAGUUGCCUUCGAGUAGAUUCCAAUUCAUAGUGACCCCACAUGUGCCGAGUAGAACUCCAUAGGGUCUCCAAGGCUAUGAUGUUUCGGAAGCAAAUGGCCAGGCCUGUCUUCCGAGGCACCUCUGGGUGAGUUCAGACCACCAACCUUUCAGCUAGUGGUUGAGCACUUAACCACACGCACCACCCAGGGCCUCCUAGGUUGUUCUUAGCCUCUCAUAUGAAUUAGGAUCGGGGUGGGGCGUGCCCUAGGGCCACAGCUGUGCUUCACAGAAAGGAGACGGGACACGGGGGACACGUUACACCCAGGGCCCCUGCACGGGUCAUCUUGCCUAGUCCCCAAGGCCUGUGGGGCCCCAGAUUGGUUGAUUCUUAGGAUGCCGUCAGGAUGAAUCUUAGUAAUGAAGGCAUCUGAGGAAAAGUCCGGUUAUAUGUGUUUAUAGGUAAAGUAUUUACGUGUUAUUAAUGUUAGAUUUAUUUGAUGUGUGAAAUUGCUUAAAAGGAAGUUUUCAUGAUUUUACUUAGAUAGUAUUUAAAUAUCUGCUUUAAAGGAUGAUUUAUUUAUUCAAAAAUAAGGAAAAAUAGGAGAAUAUGUGAAUUUUUUAAGCCUGAGAGAUGACAGGAUGUGCCCAUACUUUUCCUGUAAAGAAAAUAAUUUUUUAAAUCUUUCAUAUCCUCUAGAAAACACUGACUUUCCCCCGUGAUAACAUUGUUUGCACUACUGUAAUGUCAAGACUGAAAGUAUGACAAAAUGUACCUGUAAGGUUAAUUUUUAUAUUUUUCUUAAAGAAUUUGAGUCUUAGAGUAUAUGCACUAGGCUAUACAUGACUCUUUUAUAGCUGAGAGAUGUUAUGCUAGAUUUUUAAGUUAUUAGUUCUGGUACUUGUGUCUUUGUAUGAUCAGCAGCAUGCCACAAGCAAUAAAAAAUACCAAGCCUUAUACAAAAGAAGUUUAACGUAUUGGGUAAAGUUCUAAACAUAUCAAAUGUACAUAAGUGAUAAAACUAGAUUUCUAAGGAAGUGUACAUUAUAAUACAGGAGCUCAAAAUUACAUUAAGAAAUUUGUCUAGGACUAGAAAAAUGUUCAUUAAUUUGGGGAGAAAGUUUAGGGGUUUAAGAAGUAUUUUUUCUAUUUAAAAGGGUUAAAUUAUAUAAUUUGAAAGAAUUUGGUUUAAAUGUAAGACAACUAUUUGAAGGACUUUUGUUUGAAAAGUAGAUGUAUUUUUUGUGCCUUAAUUGUUCUGACUUUUAAUAAAAUGCUUUCUGAAAUUUUGAAUGAUCGAGUCUUGAUAAUUAAUACUAGAUUGUUAAUCUACAGGAAGUGUAGACUCCAGUAGAUAGCAGAAGGACGUAAACAAAAUUCUUAAAAGAGGAGGUACAACUAAUAACAAAUGUGGAAAAGUGUUCAACCUCAGUGUUGAUCAGAGAAAUGCAAAUAAAAGGGGAAAUUUUUAAAAAUAAAAUUAACAUGUAUUUAUAUAUUCUAUUGUAUGUGUAUAAAAUCCCUUUGCUUCCAAAGUCUGAUGAAAUGAGCACACAUAAAUUA